GACGAACGCUGGCGGCGUGCUUAACACAUGCAAGUCGAACGGAAAGGCCCUGCUUUUGUGGGUUGCUCGAUUGGCGAACGGGUGAGUAACACGUGAGUAACCUGCCCUUAACUUUGGGAUAACUUCAGGAGACUGGGGCUCAUACCGGAUAGGAGCUCCUGCUGCAUGGUGGUGGUUGGAAAGUUUCGGCGGUUGGGGAUGGACUCGCGGCUUAUCAGCUUGUUGGGGGGGUAGUGGAUUACCAAGGCUUUGACGGGUAGCCGGCCUGAGAGGGUGACCGGCCACAUGGGGACUGAGGGAGGCACCAGACUCGUACGUGAGGCAGCAGUGGGGAACAUUGCACAAUGGGCCGAAGCCUGAUGCAGCAACGCCGGGUGCGGGAUGACGUCUUUCGGGUUGUAAACCGAUGUCGCAUGUGACGAAGCGUGAGUGACGGUAAUGGGUAAAGAAGCACCGGCUAACUACGUG
RNAcentral lists this ribosomal RNA (468 nucleotides) under uncultured bacterium. Its description in RNAcentral is "partial 16S ribosomal RNA". It matches the Rfam family "Bacterial small subunit ribosomal RNA", at positions 28 to 507 of the family's 1533-position model. The record is from RNAcentral.